GAUGAACGCUAGCGGCAGGCCUAAUACAUGCAAGUCGAACGGUAGUUGUAGUAGCAAUACUGCAAUCAGAGUGACGUAAGGGUGCGUAACACGUAUGCAAUCUGCCCUCAACAGGAGGAUAGCUCGGGGAAACCCGGAUUAACCCUCCAUAACAUAAUUGGAUGGCAUCAUUUGAUUAUAAAACUAGAGGUGGUUGAGGAUGAGCAUGCGGANGAUUAGCUAGUUGGUAGUGUAACGGACUACCAAGGCAAUGAUCAAUA
RNAcentral lists this ribosomal RNA (260 nucleotides) under uncultured bacterium. RNAcentral describes it as "partial 16S ribosomal RNA". It matches the Rfam family "Bacterial small subunit ribosomal RNA", at positions 28 to 285 of the family's 1533-position model. The record is from RNAcentral.